UAGGGAAUCUUCCACAAUGGACGAAAGUCUGAUGGAGCAACGCCGCGUGAGUGAAGAAGGUUUUCGGAUCGUAAAGCUCUGUUGUUGGUGAAGAAGGAUAGAGGCAGUAACUGGUCUUUAUUUGACGGUAAUCAACCAGAAAGUCACGGCUAACUACGUGCCAGCAGCCGCGGUAAUACGUAGGUGGCAAGCGUUGUCCGGAUUUAUUGGGCGUAAAGCGAGCGCAGGCGGAAUGAUAAGUCUGAUGUGAAAGCCCACGGCUCAACCGUGG
RNAcentral lists this ribosomal RNA (271 nucleotides) under uncultured bacterium. RNAcentral describes it as "partial 16S ribosomal RNA". It matches the Rfam family "Bacterial small subunit ribosomal RNA", at positions 355 to 618 of the family's 1533-position model. The record is from RNAcentral.